UGAAGCUGAUUGUAUCGAUAGGAAAAUGAGAUUAUGAUAGAUUCUAUAGCAGUAAAACUGAUGUAGCUUAAAGCUGUAAUAAAUAUUUACUAUAUUGUGUGUUGUCAUUGGAUCAAUGAGACAGAAUCUGGACAGGAAGUUAAAUAAUCCACUUACGAAAUGUUUCCAUUUUGUUUCCAAUUCUCAGGUGUCUUACAUUAGUCAAGACUGUGAAGAAAUUCCAGAAUUCCUAGGAAGAAUAUAUGGACAUAUGGCAAAAAGGCUAGAUCUUAGCUUCAACUUGUUAAGGAACCAGGUGUGAUCUGGUAUUUCCUCAUCACUGCUGUUGUGAAACGAGAGCGAAGGACUGCAGAAAUAACUGCUGUCUGAGGACAAGGAGCUUGACUGAAGGGAAGAGCCUGCAUUAACCCUGGAGCUAUUGUCUCUGUCUUUUCCUCUCUGUUCUGUUGAAAGGUAUCUUCUUCUCUUCUUAAUGCAAUGCACAGGAUUCCCAGCAUCCAGUUGCAGACGUAAAGAACUUGACUAGUUUUGCUUACCAAUCACUAAGAAAGGUCUCUGUUUUCCAGUGUUCAACAAACCUGCUGAGUGGUCAUGGUAAAAAUAGCUGGCAUUUGGUAGGUAAAAUCCCUACAAGGUUCUGUGUAUGCAUUGCUUGUUAGAUGUUGUCUUGUGUGGUUUGUGCCAUUUUUGAGAUCAUUCAUUUUCCGUAAAUCAUCUUUACAUAAAUUGUCUUGGAGGUGAUUUUUCAGUUUAAAACGACAAUCCCCAAACCCUUAGCUCAUGCAAGUGUGAAGAACGAGCAUCAUAGAAGUGCAAAAGGGCCAUGCGUUUUAUUCAAGCUCAGGAGCCAGCGUGUCAAAUCAGACAUGCUAUACAAUAAUUAUACUGUCUUUAAGGUCAUAGUUAAUGCAGUGUUAUAGCUCAGUUGCAGGCUUUACCCAUGAACUGAUGCUGGCAAUCAUGUGAAAUUUUGCAAUUUUUAUUUCUGUUUUUGUUUUGUUUCUCCUAGUGUCUCUUUCCUGCCUGUUUUGCCUGAGUUGCUCACUAGUGCAGUUGGAAGAUCAUUUCCUUUCUUGAUAAUUUCUUCUCCAUUUUUAACUUAAUUUGCCCAUUGAGUCUGUAAGUGGCAGCAGUGAAUGUGCUUCAUAUAAUACAACCAUAACAGUUUGUUCAUUUUAAAAGUAAUCUUGUUGCUCAUGUUAGUAGGACCCCUUGCUAUGGUGAAAAGUUAUAGAAAUCACUUAAAAAAAAAAAAAAACCAAAACACAAAUAAGAAAUGCAAUAUAUCUAAUGUUAGGGCAUCGUUUGUAAUCCAUCCAAAUGUCUAGGGUGUUGAUAAGCACUUGAAGAGAAGCUAUUUAAGUGUGGUCCAAUUUGCAAGAGCUUACAUCUCUAAUGUUUUUCCUGUGCAGUCGGUAUAUGAACUAUACUGGUAGGUACUAAUACUUGAAUGUGUGCACACCUCGAGGUCAUUUUUUCAUAGAAAGCAUAGUGUGUGUGGGAUGAUGUUGUCCAAAGUAGUUUACUGGCAUCUAAUACAUAUAUGCACACACAGAGACAUGCAUAAAACCCAACAUCUUUUAUAUAAACUUCUUUAUAAUAUAUGUGUAAUGCCUUUAUGUAUAUUAUAUGUACAAUAAAUAAAUUAUAUUUUUAAUAUAUGAACA
Molecule: long non-coding RNA, 1667 nt
Filed under: Calidris pugnax (ruff)
Lineage: Eukaryota; Metazoa; Chordata; Aves; Charadriiformes; Scolopacidae
Description: lncRNA (ENSCPUG00000010100.1)
Source: RNAcentral